CAGUCGCCGCGGUAAUACAGAGGGUGCAAGCGUUAAUCGGAAUUACUGGGCGUAAAGCGCGCGUAGGUGGUUUGUUAAGUUGGAUGUGAAAUCCCCGGGCUCAACCUGGGAACUGCAUCCAAAACUGGCAAGCUAGAGUAUGGUAGAGGGUGGUGGAAUUUCCUGUGUAGCGGUGAAAUGCGUAGAUAUAGGAAGGAACACCAGUGGCGAAGGCGACCACCUGGACUGAUACUGACACUGAGGUGCGAAAGCGUGGGGAGCAAACAGGAUUAGAUACCCCGGUAGUCCCUGUCUCUUAUAC
This 301-nucleotide ribosomal RNA is filed under the name uncultured bacterium. Its description in RNAcentral is "partial 16S ribosomal RNA". It matches the Rfam family "Bacterial small subunit ribosomal RNA", at positions 509 to 807 of the family's 1533-position model. The record is from RNAcentral.